RNAcentral lists this unclassified non-coding RNA (370 nucleotides) under uncultured Gammaproteobacteria bacterium. RNAcentral's name for it is "contains 16S-23S intergenic spacer region". Lineage: Bacteria; Pseudomonadati; Pseudomonadota; Gammaproteobacteria. The record is from RNAcentral.
UCCGGUUUGUCACCGGCAGUCUCAUUAGAGUGCCCUUGCGUAGCAACUAAUGAUAAGGGUUGCGCUCGUUGCGGGACUUAACCCAACAUCUCACGACACGAGCUGACGACGGCUAUGCAGCACCUGUGUUCUAGUUCUCUUUCGAGCACGAAUCCACCUCUGGAAACUUCUAGACAUGUCAAGGGUAGGUAAGGUUUUUCGCGUUGCAUCGAAUUAAACCACGUGCUCCACCGCUUGUUACGGACUCCCGUCAAAUCCUUUGAGUUUCAACCUUGCGGUCAUACUACUCAGGCGGAAUGUUUCACGCGUUAGCUAUACAAUAUACUCACUAAAGUACUUGUUAACAUUCAUCGUUGACAGUAUGGACUAC